UACGUAGGGUGCAAGCGUUAAUCGGAAUUACUGGGCGUAAAGCGUGCGCAGGCGGUUUUGUAAGUCUGACGUGAAAUCCCCGGGCUCAACCUGGGAAUUGCGUUGGAGACUGCAAGGCUGGAGUCUGGCAGAGGGGGGUAGAAUUCCACGUGUAGCAGUGAAAUGCGUAGAGAUGUGGAGGAACACCGAUGGCGAAGGCAGCCUUCUGGGCCAACACUGACGCUCAUGCACGAAAGCGUGGGGAGCAAACAGG
This 253-nucleotide ribosomal RNA is filed under the name uncultured bacterium. RNAcentral's name for it is "partial 16S ribosomal RNA". It matches the Rfam family "Bacterial small subunit ribosomal RNA", at positions 524 to 776 of the family's 1533-position model. The record is from RNAcentral.